This 292-nucleotide ribosomal RNA is filed under the name Anoxybacillus sp. ST4. RNAcentral's name for it is "partial 16S ribosomal RNA". It matches the Rfam family "Bacterial small subunit ribosomal RNA", at positions 62 to 342 of the family's 1533-position model. Lineage: Bacteria; Bacillati; Bacillota; Bacilli; Caryophanales; Anoxybacillaceae. The record is from RNAcentral.
UCGAGCGGACGAUUCAAAAGCUUGCUUUUGAAUCGUUAGCGGCGGACGGGUGAGUAACACGUGGGCAACCUGCCCUGUAGACGGGGAUAACACCGAGAAAUCGGUGCUAAUACCGGAUAAUACGAAAUGUCGCAUGACGUUUCGUUGAAAGGCGGCGCAAGCUGCCGCUACAGGAUGGGCCCGCGGCGCAUUAGCUAGUUGGUGAGGUAACGGCUCACCAAGGCGACGAUGCGUAGCCGACCUGAGAGGGUGAUCGGCCACACUGGGACUGAGACACGGCCCAGACUCCUAC